This 468-nucleotide ribosomal RNA is filed under the name uncultured bacterium. RNAcentral describes it as "partial 16S ribosomal RNA". It matches the Rfam family "Bacterial small subunit ribosomal RNA", at positions 28 to 507 of the family's 1533-position model. The record is from RNAcentral.
GACGAACGCUGGCGGCGUGCUUAACACAUGCAAGUCGAACGGAAAGGCCCUGCUUUUGUGGGGUGCUCGAGCGGCGAACGGGUGAGUAACACGUGAGUAACCUGCCCUUGACUUUGGGAUAACUUCAGGAAACUGGGGCUAAUACCGGAUAGGAGCUCCUGCUGCAUGGUGGGGGUUGGAAAGUUUCGGCGGUUGGGGAUGGACUCGCGGCUUAUCAGCUUGUUGGUGGGGUAGUGGCUUACCAAGGCUUUGACGGGUAGCCGGCCUGAGAGGGUGACCGGCCACAUUGGGACUGAGAUACGGCCCAGACUCCUACGGGAGGCAGCAGUGGGGAAUAUUGCACAAUGGGCGGAAGCCUGAUGCAGCAACGCCGCGUGCGGGAUGACGGCUUUCGGGUUGUAAACCGCUUUCGCCUGUGACGAAGCGUGAGUGACGGUAAUGGGUAAAGAAGCACCGGCUAACUACGUG